UCUUAAAUAGUUUAUAAAAAAUAAUGGAAUGUGAUUCUAUAGAAAUAAAUUUUAUUUUAAGUA
RNAcentral lists this transfer RNA (63 nucleotides) under Tremex columba (pigeon tremex). Its description in RNAcentral is "tRNA-His". Lineage: Eukaryota; Metazoa; Arthropoda; Insecta; Hymenoptera; Siricidae. The record is from RNAcentral.